This 253-nucleotide ribosomal RNA is filed under the name uncultured bacterium. RNAcentral describes it as "partial 16S ribosomal RNA". It matches the Rfam family "Bacterial small subunit ribosomal RNA", at positions 524 to 776 of the family's 1533-position model. The record is from RNAcentral.
UACAGAGGUCCCAAGCGUUGUUCGGAUUCAUUGGGCGUAAAGGGUGCGUAGGCGGUUUGUCGCGUCUGCUGUGAAAACUCGGGGCUUAACUCCGGGCCUGCAGUGGGUACGGGCAGACUAGAGUGCGGUAGGGGAGACUGGAAUUCCUGGUGUAGCGGUGAAAUGCGCAGAUAUCAGGAGGAACACCGAUGGCGAAGGCGGGUCUCUGGGACAGUACUAACACUGAGAGGCGAAAGCGAGGGUAGCAAAUGGG